Molecule: ribosomal RNA, 813 nt
Filed under: Lactobacillus sp. 14.8.7
Lineage: Bacteria; Bacillati; Bacillota; Bacilli; Lactobacillales; Lactobacillaceae
Description: bacterial SSU rRNA
Rfam family: Bacterial small subunit ribosomal RNA
Source: RNAcentral
GUCGAACGAGCUUCCGUUGAAUGACGUGCUUGCACUGAUUUCAACAAUGAAGCGAGUGGCGAACUGGUGAGUAACACGUGGGGAAUCUGCCCAGAAGCAGGGGAUAACACUUGGAAACAGGUGCUAAUACCGUAUAACAACAAAAUCCGCAUGGAUUUUGUUUGAAAGGUGGCUUCGGCUAUCACUUCUGGAUGAUCCCGCGGCGUAUUAGUUAGUUGGUGAGGUAAAGGCCCACCAAGACGAUGAUACGUAGCCGACCUGAGAGGGUAAUCGGCCACAUUGGGACUGAGACACGGCCCAAACUCCUACGGGAGGCAGCAGUAGGGAAUCUUCCACAAUGGACGAAAGUCUGAUGGAGCAAUGCCGCGUGAGUGAAGAAGGGUUUCGGCUCGUAAAACUCUGUUGUUAAAGAAGAACACCUUUGAGAGUAACUGUUCAAGGGUUGACGGUAUUUAACCAGAAAGCCACGGCUAACUACGUGCCAGCAGCCGCGGUAAUACGUAGGUGGCAAGCGUUGUCCGGAUUUAUUGGGCGUAAAGCGAGCGCAGGCGGUUUUUUAAGUCUGAUGUGAAAGCCUUCGGCUUAACCGGAGAAGUGCAUCGGAAACUGGGAGACUUGAGUGCAGAAGAGGACAGUGGAACUCCAUGUGUAGCGGUGGAAUGCGUAGAUAUAUGGAAGAACACCAGUGGCGAAGGCGGCUGUCUAGUCUGUAACUGACGCUGAGGCUCGAAAGCAUGGGUAGCGAACAGGAUUAGAUACCCUGGUAGUCCAUGCCGUAAACGAUGAGUGCUAAGUGUUGGGAGGGUUUCCGCC